CAACAGUUCUCAUAUGAUCACUGAAAUUAAACAGCGUGAAGCUUGGUCAGUACUUAGAUGGGUGACCACUUGGAAAUAUCGGGUGCUGGAUG
Molecule: non-coding RNA, 92 nt
Organism: Acanthosepion pharaonis
Lineage: Eukaryota; Metazoa; Mollusca; Cephalopoda; Sepiida; Sepiidae
Source: the annotation of a GenBank genome assembly